AAAAUGACAUUAGACAUCGCACUUUAGACAUCGGUUAGAAAUACCCCUGAUGUUAAAAGUAUAUCUUACAUCAAAUAAAUCAAAAACGAUGUCUAUUAACAAUCUAAACAUCAGUUAUUGUUAAAAAUGAUGUCUUAUUCCCAGUUUCAAAAAAUGAAAAACAACCCGCUCAUUAUUCCCCCUUAUUACAGAUAUAUUCCUCCUUAACCAAAUUUUAUUUCCCACCUUCACCAAAAUCUUAUUUCCCCUCUUUCUUUCUUUUCUUCUCGGCUAUGUCUCUCGAGUCUCGACUGACGACUUUCUCGACCCUCUCUCUCUUUUUCGACUCUCUCGACUCUCUCUUCUCCCACCUCUACUCUCCCUAUCUCGUCUAUCUGGUCUCUCUCACACCAUCGAUCUUGCUCCGACAUUCAUAUAGUAGUUAGGGUUCAAUUGGGUAAACCCUAAUUUGUUUCUAUUGGAGACACAACUCGAAGAAAUUAGCAACUUGAAGCAAUUAGUAGAUUGAAACUCAGCUCUGAGAAACGCAACCUGCAAAUUAUAAGUUCGAUUGGGUUUAAGGGUUUGAUUGGUUCAAUUGGGUUUUAGGGUUCUUUUCCGAGUCUCCAUCUUCUUUUUCAAGGGAACCAAAUCAGAGAUGCCAUGGUCAUUGCAGUAUAUUUUUUUUUGUCUUGUUCACCUUGCUGUUUACGGAAUCUUUCGAUAAUAUGUUUAUGGCUGGGUCAAGAAAGUACUCUGUUUGUUUAUAUCAGAGGCUCACAGAACUAGAUGGAUUUGUUCUCUCAUUCGACCCAAAACCCAUCCCGGUCUGUCCUAAUAUUCUGCUCCUGCUAUUAGUUUCAGGCUUUCAGCUUCCUAGUACAAUUUAUAUAUGUUUUUAUAUUUGUGCGCGGUCUAAUAUUUCAUGACAACAGUUUUAAAAAACAAUGAGCUGCAGUAAAUUAAUUAAAUACUCACACGUCCAAUAUUUAUGUUCAUAGGACUUGGCUCUUUGUUUAGUCUCAAACUAGCAAACAGUUCUCUGAGACCUCUUUCUCUAACCUGGCUCUUUGUUGAGUGCACCUUCUAUUGUAGUGUGGUUAUUCUUCUCCUACUCAAGCUGCUGAUGAAGUACCUAUAGUGUCAAAUGAUAUGAUGCCUUCUGAUUUACUUCAUGCAGUUGCAAGUCAGGUUUUCUGGAUUCCAAAAAGUUAAAUGAUUAUCCUCUUUUACUAUUUCAUUAAGAUAUAAGCAUGAUUUAUAUAUGAGAGCUUGUGAUUUGACAUGGCAUAACAACUUCUCUACAGGCUCUGCUAAGGAGGCAGAGUUUCCAAAGAGAAGAGUCUCCUACUAUGUGCUGCAAGCUAGAGACAUUUGCUAGAGUUUACAAGCUAGGCCAAAAAUUUUGGCAGUAUAAUUUGAUGGAUUAAUGGAUAAUGUAAUUUUGUGUUUAAUCUGCAUUGGUUGUGUUGAUAUCAAUGUAGUUUUGAUAUUGUAUGGUUUGGAUUAUGUAGUUGGUUUCAAUAUUUGAUGAA
Long non-coding RNA from Daucus carota subsp. sativus, 1514 nucleotides. RefSeq lists it as uncharacterized. Lineage: Eukaryota; Viridiplantae; Streptophyta; Magnoliopsida; Apiales; Apiaceae. The record is from RefSeq and is a predicted model, not a curated record. The transcript is spliced from 3 exons.